AUGGUUAGUCAGAUGACCAGUAUCACCCAGACCGACAUCAUCAGCACCCUGCAGUCCCUGAACACGGUCACUGACAGUAACCCAGGGGUGGCUGUUGUCACUCAGGGGUUACUCACAGGUUACUCAGAGGUUACUCAUGGUUUACUCAUGGUUAGUCAGAUGACGAGUAUCACCCAGACCGACAUCAUCAGCACCCUGCAGUCGCUGAACACGGUCACUGACAGUAACCCGGGGUGGAGCAGUGAUGGGUCGGAGGUUACUCACAGGUUACUCACAGGUUACUCACAGGUUACUCACGGUUUACUCAGUCAGAUGACCAGUAUCACCCAGACCGACAUCAUCAGCACUCUGCANNNNNNNNNNNNNNNNNNNNNNNNNNNNNNNNNNNNUGGGAAUGUUUUGGGAAUUCUCUGGGAAUGUUUUGGGAACAUUUUGGGAAUUCUUUGGGAAUUUUUUGGGAGUUUUUUGGGAAUGUUUUGGGAAUUUUUGGGAAUUUUUUGGGAAUUCUCUGGGGAAUUUUUUUGGGAAUUUUUUGGGAAUUUUUGGGGAAUUCUCUGGGAAUUUUUUGGGAAUGUUUUGGGAAUUUUUGGGGAUUUUUGGGGAAUUUUUGGGGAAUAUUUUGGGAGUUUUUUGGGAAUUUUGGGGGAUUUUUUGGGAGUUUUUUGGGAAUUCUCUGGGAAUUUUUUUGGGAAUUCUCUGGGAAUUUUUAGGAAUGUUUUGGGAAGUUUUGGGAAUUCUCUGUUAAUUCUUUGGGAAUUCUCUGGGAAUGUUUUGGGAAUGUUUUGGGAUUUUUUUGGGAAUUUUUUGGGAAUGUUUUGGGAAUUCUCUGGGGAAUUUUUUUGGGAAUUUUUGGGGAAUUCUCUGGGAAUUUUUUGGGAAUGUUUUGAGAAUUUUUUGGGUAUUUUUGGGGAUUUUUUUGGGAAUUUUUUUGGGGAAUGUUUUGGGAAUUUUUGGGAAUUUUUUGGGAAUUCUCUGGGGAAUUUUUUUGGGAAUUUUUGGGGAAUUUUUUGGGAAUUUUUUGUGAAUUCUUUGGGAAUUUUUGGGGAAUGUUUUGGGAAUGUUUUGGGGAUUUUUGGGGAAUUUUUGGGAGUUUUUUGGGGAAUUUUUUGGGGAAUUUUUGGGAGUUUUUUGGGAAUUCUCUGGGGAAUUUUUGGGGAAUUUUUUGGGAACAUUUUGGGAAUUCUCUGUUAA
Molecule: long non-coding RNA, 1191 nt
Filed under: Parus major (Great Tit)
Lineage: Eukaryota; Metazoa; Chordata; Aves; Passeriformes; Paridae
Description: lncRNA (ENSPMJG00000003133.1)
Source: RNAcentral